This 72-nucleotide transfer RNA is filed under the name Camelus bactrianus (Bactrian camel). It matches the Rfam family "tRNA". Rfam says of the family: Transfer RNA (tRNA) molecules are approximately 80 nucleotides in length. Their secondary structure includes four short double-helical elements and three loops (D, anti-codon, and T loops). Lineage: Eukaryota; Metazoa; Chordata; Mammalia; Artiodactyla; Camelidae. RNAcentral also lists the same sequence under 2 other names. The record is from Rfam by way of RNAcentral.
GAGGGUAUAGUUAAGUGGUAGAGCGCAUGCUUUGCAUGCAUGAGGUCCUAGGUUCAAUCCCCAGUACCUUCA